Molecule: ribosomal RNA, 500 nt
Filed under: uncultured bacterium
Lineage: Bacteria
Description: partial 16S ribosomal RNA
Rfam family: Bacterial small subunit ribosomal RNA
Source: RNAcentral
AUUGAACGCUGGCGGCAUGCCUUACACAUGCAAGUCGAACGGCAGCACGGGAGCAAUCCUGGUGGCGAGUGGCGAACGGGUGAGUAGUACAUCGGAACGUGCCUAGUAGUGGGGGAUAGCCCGGCGAAAGCCGGAUUAAUACCGCAUGCGACCUGAGGGUGAAAGCGGGGGAUCGAAAGACCUCGCGCUAUCAGAGCGGCCGAUGCCAGAUUAGGUAGUUGGUGGGGUAAAAGCCUACCAUGCCGACGAUCUGUAGCUGGUCUGAGAGGACGACCAGCCACACUGGGACUGAGACACGGCCCAGACUCCUACGGGAGGCAGCAGUGGGGAAUUUUGGACAAUGGGCGCAAGCCUGAUCCAGCCAUGCCGCGUGCAGGAAGAAGGCCUUCGGGUUGUAAACUGCUUUUGUCAGGGAAGAAAAGUUCUGGGCUAAUACCCCGGAGCGAUGACGGUACCUGAAGAAUAAGCACCGGCUAACUAUGUGCCAGCCGCCGCAGUAA